CGCGUAGGUGGUAGUGCAAGUCUGGGGUGGAAUCCCAGGGCUUAACCCUGGAACUGCCUUGGAAACUGUAUUACUUGAGUCAGUGAGGGGAGGGUAGAAUUCCUGGUGUAGCGGUGAAAUGCGUAGAUAUCAGGAGGAAGGCCUGUGGCGAAGGCGGCCCUCUGGCGCUGAACUGACACUGAGGCGCGAAAGCGUGGGUAGCAAACAGGAUUAGAUACCCUGGUAGUCCACGCCCUAAACGGUGGGUACUAGGUGUGGGGCUCGUAAGGGUUCUGUGCCGAAGCGAAAGCAUUAAGUACCCCGCUGGGGAGUACGGCCGCAAGGUUGAA
Molecule: ribosomal RNA, 329 nt
Filed under: uncultured bacterium
Lineage: Bacteria
Description: bacterial SSU rRNA
Rfam family: Bacterial small subunit ribosomal RNA
Source: RNAcentral